Molecule: ribosomal RNA, 253 nt
Filed under: uncultured bacterium
Lineage: Bacteria
Description: partial 16S ribosomal RNA
Rfam family: Bacterial small subunit ribosomal RNA
Source: RNAcentral
UACGGGGGGGGCAAGCGUUGUUCGGAAUUACUGGGCGUAAAGGGCUCGUAGGUGGCCAACUAAGUCAGACGUGAAAUCCCUCGGCUUAACCGGGGAACUGCGUCUGAUACUGGAUGGCUUGAGUUCGGGAGAGGGAUGCGGAAUUCCAGGUGUAGCGGUGAAAUGCGUAGAUAUCUGGAGGAACACCGGUGGCGAAGGCGGCAUCCUGGACCGGCAUUGACGCUGAGGCGCGAAGGCCAGGGGAGCAAACGGG